RNAcentral lists this ribosomal RNA (254 nucleotides) under uncultured bacterium. Its description in RNAcentral is "partial 16S ribosomal RNA". It matches the Rfam family "Bacterial small subunit ribosomal RNA", at positions 524 to 776 of the family's 1533-position model. The record is from RNAcentral.
UACGGAGGGUGCGAGCGUUGUCCGGAAUCACUGGGCGUAAAGGGCGCGUAGGCGGCCUGAUAAGUAGGGGGGUGAAAUCCUGCGGCUUAACCGCAGGGCUGCCUUCUAAACUGUCAGGCUCGAGCACAGUAGAGGCAGGUGGAAUUCCUGGUGUAGCGGUGAAAUGCGCAGAUAUCAGGAGGAACACCAAUUGCGAAGGCAGCUCGCUGGGACGUGACUGACGCUGAGACGCGAAAGCGUGGGGAGCAAACAGG